CCUACGGGUGGCAGCAGUGGGGAAUAUUGGACAAUGGGCGAAAGCCUGAUCCAGCAAUGCCGCGUGAGUGAUGAAGGCCUAGGGUUGUAAAGCUCUUUUACCCGGGAGACAGUACCGGGAGAAUAAGCCCCGGCUAACUCCGUGCCAGCAGCCGCGGUAAUACGGAGGGGGCUAGCGUUGUUCGGAAUUACUGGGCGUAAAGCGCACGUAGGCGGUUUGUAAGUCAGAGGUGAAAGCCCGGAGCUUAACUCCGGAAUUGCCUUUGAGACUGCAUCCUUGAAUCCAGGAGAGGUAGUGGAAUUCCGAGUGUAGAGGUGAAAUUCGUAGAUAUUCGGAAGAACACCAGUGGCGAAGGCGGCUCACUGGACUGGAUUGACGCUGAGGUGCGAAAGCGUGGGGAGCAAACAGGAUUAGAUACCCUUGUAGUC
Molecule: ribosomal RNA, 428 nt
Filed under: uncultured bacterium
Lineage: Bacteria
Description: partial 16S ribosomal RNA
Rfam family: Bacterial small subunit ribosomal RNA
Source: RNAcentral